Molecule: long non-coding RNA, 322 nt
Organism: Oreochromis aureus
Lineage: Eukaryota; Metazoa; Chordata; Actinopteri; Cichliformes; Cichlidae
Source: Ensembl
CUGGACGUGAGGAUGGGGCACUCUUUGCUCUGUUUGCUGGGGUUAUUCUAACUUGGAGUGAAGGCCACUCUGACAGCAGACAGAUUAACCAUACCAGCAGGGGGCAGUGUGACACUGACCUGUGAUGUGAAGUACUCUGUUGACUUUGAAUAUGACUGGUUAAGAGAACUCAGUUUAAACUCUAAUCAGAAGAUCACAGUAACUGGUGAAUCAAAGAGAGAACUGGUGACCUCUAAAGGCGGCAUCUACAACUGCAGAGGACGUAUAAAAGGGACAAAUUCAGUCACAGUACAAAGUGAUCGAGUCAUCAUUCAGGAAACUG